GUGACUGAGAGCAGCUAUAUCACAGGGCUCAAUCUAUUCUACCAUGGGAAGCUUGGAGAGCCCGAGAGGACUGGUCAACACUACAGGAACUGAGAAGUGUAAAGGGCAAAAACAAUCCAGUACAUCAUCCAUCGGACCUAAAACAAGGCGUGGGCGAUCAGCAGCUUCAGAAGAGUAGACCGAUAGGCGCGUAGGGACCUGUACUUCAACAACAGGCGGAGUGACACAGGCUGCACCCAUGUGCUCUAUUACAUGUUGUGGAGAAGGAAGAAAGGAGAAAAAUGGAUCCUUCUGCUGGCAAGUAUAAACGAUGGCUAAAAACACAACAUCUUUAGAAUGGAGCCAAGCUACAGUAAAAUAAAUAUCAAAAGUGCAAUUCAACUGGCUAAAUA
Pseudophryne corroboree (corroboree frog) is the source of this 392-nucleotide long non-coding RNA. RefSeq lists it as uncharacterized. The record is from RefSeq and is a predicted model, not a curated record. Lineage: Eukaryota; Metazoa; Chordata; Amphibia; Anura; Myobatrachidae. The transcript has 3 exons.